Non-coding RNA from Oncorhynchus mykiss (rainbow trout), 388 nucleotides. The record is from RefSeq and is a predicted model, not a curated record. NCBI's taxonomy places the organism in Eukaryota, Metazoa, Chordata, Actinopteri, Salmoniformes, Salmonidae.
CCUGAACCUGAGAUUACAGAGAGAUGGAUGGUCAUCUUUGUAAAUAUGUACAACUGUCUGAGAAGUAUAAUAGCUAUAGGUGUAAGUGUUUGUAGAAGAGAUAAUACUUUUCUCAUUCUAGGGGCCCCAGACUUCUGUAUGAGGAGAUCUGGGAUUCCAUCAUCGUUGAAUUGGCCUGGUGCUGGACGACUGAGACAAUAAUAAAUGAUUCAGAACUGGAGAGAUGGGUAUUGUUGCUCUUUUGAGUGACUCCUAUUAGCACAUCCUCAACUGAGUCAUUGUCAACAUCCCACAGUGCAAGAGGAGGUGGGGUAACACCUGAAGAAGAAAACCACUGUUACAGACAGGAACGUUCCCCAUGCUGACAAGGCACCAGAAAGGCACACAG